GGGGGCGCACGGUUUCGACGGGGGAUCGUAGGUCUCUAGGUGCAUGUCCGGGGCGGCUACCCGGUUAGCAAGCCAACGCAAGUAAUUGCAAACAACGAACACACACUCGCUGCUGCUUAAUUAGUGGCGAUGUCCUCUGCGAAGGCACUCCCGCGGUCUUGUAGAGGGCACAAACUUUAGUGGGAUAGUCUGGUGUGAUGCCUCGGGCAUCAGGCAAAACUAAGAGGAUGCUCUUUUCGAUUGGGUCGUCUUUGCCCCUGCCGUAAAGCUAAGAUUAAUGCAAAGACUAAACAUGUAGUACCUUUGACUGAACAUACUUCGGACGUGGGUUCGAUUCCCACCGCCUCCAUUU
Molecule: non-coding RNA, 352 nt
Organism: Denitrovibrio acetiphilus DSM 12809
Lineage: Bacteria; Pseudomonadati; Deferribacterota; Deferribacteres; Deferribacterales; Geovibrionaceae
Rfam family: transfer-messenger RNA
About the family: Bacterial tmRNA, also known as 10Sa RNA or SsrA, is named for its dual tRNA and mRNA-like properties. Its role is to liberate the mRNA from a stalled ribosome.
Source: Rfam